RNAcentral lists this long non-coding RNA (1062 nucleotides) under Homo sapiens (human). Its description in RNAcentral is "HSALNT0404678". The record is from RNAcentral. Lineage: Eukaryota; Metazoa; Chordata; Mammalia; Primates; Hominidae.
CUUGCUGCCGCCAUGAUUCUGAGGCCUCCCCAGCCAUGUGGAACUGCAAUACUUUAAAGACACAAAGUCUCAACAACCAUCUUCCGCUUGACGAGACAGAUCAUUCUAAUUUGAGCAGAAGCUACUAUGUCCUGCCCUUUGAACGCGGCGGCCCGGACAGCUGACAAGGACACACUGUGUAUUUCCAUUCCAAUUCUGGGAGUGCUCUGAGGCCUCUGGGGGAGAAGGACCCAUGAAAUAUUCAAAACAUAAGUGAAUAAAAUAUCUAGGUGCUAGAUAUGGGCCAGGAAGAGCCCUCGGCCCUGCAAAGUGUGUGUGAUGGUGAGAAGCUACCGGAAGAGAUGGUCCCUGUGCUUGGUUCAUUCCUUGGACAUUUAUCAAGCUGACGAAUGUAGCAGAGGUGCUUCAGUCGGCUGUAAUUCCACGGGUGGAGUGCUGGCUGGAGAGUUACCUGGGGCUGUCACACUGCAUGGGCUCCGGGACACUGUGGCUGCCCUUAUGUGGUGUCCCCGGAGGGCCCUGCAGGUGUCACACCGCUGCUCCACACUGCCACCUGCUGUCAGCAUCUGUGCAACGUAUCCAGGUCUCUGGGGGCUAGAAUGAAAAACAUGCAUCUCGUAACCAAUGAAAUCGGGCUUGUCCUGAAGACCUCGUGCAUUCAUCCAUUCUCACACUGCUAUAAAGACAUACCUAAGACUGGGCACUUCAUGAAGAAAAGAGGUUUAAUUGGCUCACGGUUCUGCAGGCUUUACAGGAAGCAUAGCAGCUUCCACUUCUAGGGAGGCCUCAGGAAACUUAUAGUCAUGGUGGAAGGUGAAGGCGGGACAAGGCGUCUCACAUGGGAGCAGUAGAGAGAGAAAAAGAGGGGGUGCCGCACACUUUGAAACAACCAGAUCUAACGAUAACUCACUAUCAUGAGAACAGCACCAAGAAGCUGGCGCUAACCCACUUGUGAAGGACCACCACCAUGAUCCAAUCCCUUCCCACCAGGUCCCACUUCCAACGUUGGGGAUUACACUUCACGGUGAGAUUUGUGCAGAGAGGACACAGGUCCAAACCAUA